This 256-nucleotide ribosomal RNA is filed under the name uncultured bacterium. RNAcentral's name for it is "partial 16S ribosomal RNA". It matches the Rfam family "Bacterial small subunit ribosomal RNA", at positions 521 to 776 of the family's 1533-position model. The record is from RNAcentral.
UAAGACAGAGGGUGCAAGCGUUAAUCGGAAUUACUGGGCGUAAAGGGCUCGUAGGUGGUCAACUAAGUCGGAUGUGAAAUCCCUGGGCUUAACCUAGGACAGUCAUUCGAGACUGGUUGGCUAGAGUUGGAUAGAGGAAAGCGGAAUUUCCGGUGUAGCGGUGAAAUGCGUAGAUAUCGGAAGGAACACCAGUGGCGAAGGCGGCUUUCUGGAUCCAAACUGACACUAAGGAGCGAAAGCGUGGGUAGCAAACAGG